This 253-nucleotide ribosomal RNA is filed under the name uncultured bacterium. RNAcentral describes it as "partial 16S ribosomal RNA". It matches the Rfam family "Bacterial small subunit ribosomal RNA", at positions 524 to 776 of the family's 1533-position model. The record is from RNAcentral.
UACGUAGGGUCCAAGCGUUAUCCGGAAUCACUGGGCGUAAAGGGCGCGUAGGCGGCCGAUCAAGUCGGGGGUGAAAGCCUGUGGCUCAACCACAGAAUUGCCUUCGAUACUGUUUGGCUUGAGACCGGAAGAGGUUAGUGGAACUGCGAGUGUAGAGGUGAAAUUCGUAGAUAUUCGCAAGAACACCAGUGGCGAAGGCGGCUGACUGGUCCGGUUCUGACGCUGAGGCGCGAAAGCGUGGGGAGCAAACAGG